UCCCGUUUGUUAGAAAAGCUUUUGCAAAUAUCUUGUCUGAGGUAAAUUGUCAUUUUAAACACAUUUAGUGAGUGUGAAUAAUAUGAUUUUUGUCUCUAUAUAUAUUUAUGAUGCUCUGGCAGUUUUAGUUACUGUAUAAAGUGUAUUAUUAUGAUCUGUAUGAUAGUUUGAGUGCUUACAAUGGCAGCAAAUUUAAAAACAAAACAAACAAAAGAUGUUUACAUUGACAUUAUUUAAGUUAGUUCAGAUUUUUUGACAACCAUUUUGUUAUGCACAGUGCAAUCUGAUUUACGUUAUUGUAUAUCAGAUGUAUGAAAUGUACAGUGAUUUAAUGAACAGGUGUUUCAUAUCAUAGUCAUUUGCCAUACUGUGGAUUUUAAACACAUCAAGGGCUGGAAAUGACUGAAUAAAUUUCUUGCCUUUUUCCUUAGCUAAUAUUUCCCUCAUAUAUGUUUCCUCUCUUCUUGUGUGUUAACAGGUCAUUGGCACUGCUGUAUCACAACAUCAUUUGCUGGCAUGUACAUCUAGGAUGCGAUCAAUCCAGAUGAGAUUCUCUCCAAUGCCAGCAAACCGACAGUGGAAGACACGAGCCAGCACUUCUCCCACCACAUUGCCUCAGGCUUUUGAGAUACCGACUUAUAACUGCUUCUCCCCCCUAUGUUGGAAUCACCGGGGCCUCCAUCGCCCGGCAUGUACACGCUACAUUAGGUGUAGGUGAACAACAUCAGAGUGCGGCAGUCAGAGAUCCUAAAGAAGGACUCCAUAUGUUUAGUCGAGACAGUACGCCGUACAUCUCUUACGACGAGGAUAUUUGUUUCAGGACCGCUUUCCCGAUACUGACAAGGACAUUUAAGGUUCAAUGGACAACUUGCUUUCAAUGAAUGCAUUUAUGUGAGCUGCAGUCUGGAUCCUGCCUCUGUCAGAUGACCUAACACAAAUGGAAAGAUGACAUCGACCCUUGCAAGGACUUCAGACGAUCCCAGCACUGGACUACAUACAGUGGUAAUCAUAUUUUCAGUAGUCCGUGUCAAAUUUUCUUUCAAGGUAAGAUAGCUUUACAUGUUUUUUAUUGUGCUUUAGUGGUCACACAGGCCCGGUUUAUGUUCUUAACCAGCAUGAGUUUAUUUAUUGUGAUAUACACAAAACAAGAUAUUUUGAUAAAUGAUGUUAAGUACACAGCUGCUCAUUUACUUCAAUAAAAUGUCUUUUUCCUAUUAUGGAAGUCAAUGGGUACCAUCAACUGUAUGAUUGACAUCAUUUAUCAGAUUAAAGAAUUUUUGGCAAGUUUAUAACAACAUGAAGGUGAGUAAAUGAUACAAUUAUAAUUUUUACGUAAACUUUUAGCUUUGAAGGAUUAUUUACUCAACCCCAUGUUAUCCAAGAUGUUUGUCUUUCUUUCUUUAGCCAAACACAAUCAGAGUUAUAUUAAAUACUGUCCUGGCCAGUGGCGGCUCGUGACUGCUCUUCUGAGGGGUGCGAAUUCAAAAUAAGUGUUCAGAGUGUCAUGUGUGUUGCUCGUGUCUUCAAAAAUAUGUGUUUGUUACAUCAUGUAAACCAUGUGCAUCACGUGUCUUGUCAAAAGAAGUGCCUGCUGCACACGCGUCAAAACCUUUUAUGAUAAAAGAGAUGCUCACGUUCA
This is a long non-coding RNA of Paramisgurnus dabryanus, 1639 nucleotides long. RefSeq lists it as uncharacterized. The record is from RefSeq and is a predicted model, not a curated record. NCBI's taxonomy places the organism in Eukaryota, Metazoa, Chordata, Actinopteri, Cypriniformes, Cobitidae.